UCAAGAAACUUCCACAAUGGGCGAAAGCCUGAUGGAGCGACGUCGCGUGAUGGACGAAGUGCUUCGGCACGUAAACAUCUUUUAUGUGGGAUGAAAUUAUUGACAGUACCACAUGAAUAAGGGGCUCCUAACUCUGUGCCAGCAGGAGCGGUAAUACAGAGGCCCCAAGCGUUAUCCGGAAUCACUGGGCGUAAAGGGUGUCGAGGCGGUUGUAUUAGUCGUUCGUAAAAUCUACGAGCUUAACUUGUAGGCGGCGAACGAAACGGUACGACUUGAGGUUUGGAGAGGUGCGUGGAACUCACGGUGUAGGGGUGAAAUCCGUUGAUAUCGUGGGGAACACCAAAGGCGAAGGCAGCGCACUGGCCAAAAUCUGACGCUCACACACGAAAGCUAGGGUAGCGAAGAGGAUUAGAUACCCAAGUAGUCCCUGAG
RNAcentral lists this ribosomal RNA (432 nucleotides) under uncultured bacterium. Its description in RNAcentral is "bacterial SSU rRNA". It matches the Rfam family "Bacterial small subunit ribosomal RNA", at positions 355 to 801 of the family's 1533-position model. The record is from RNAcentral.